UUCGCAAUGCCCGAAAGGGUGACGAAGCGACGCCGCGUGUGGGAAGAAGGCCUUCGGGUUGUAAACCACUGUCGGGAGUUAAGAAAUGUAAGGGUGUUAAUAGCAUCCUUACUUGACUAAGGCUCCGGAGGAAGCCACGGCUAACUCUGUGCCAGCAGCCGCGGUAAUACAGAGGCGGCAAGCGUUGUUCGGAAUUAUUGGGCGUAAAGAGCACGUAGGCGGCCGUGUAAGUCGGUUGUGAAAGCCUUCCGCUCAACGGAAGAACAGCAGCCGAUACUGCAUAGCUUGAGUGCGGAAGGGGAGAGUGGAACUUCUGGUGGAGCGGUGAAAUGCGUAGAUAUCAGAAGGAACGCCGGCGGCGAAAGCGGCUCUCUGGUCCGUAACUGACGCUGAGUGUGCGAAAGCUAGGGGAGCAAACGGGAUUAGAUACCCCGGUAGUCCUAGCCGUAAACGAUGGGCACUAAGUAGAGGGGUUUU
This 477-nucleotide ribosomal RNA is filed under the name uncultured bacterium. RNAcentral describes it as "bacterial SSU rRNA". It matches the Rfam family "Bacterial small subunit ribosomal RNA", at positions 365 to 832 of the family's 1533-position model. The record is from RNAcentral.